This 73-nucleotide transfer RNA is filed under the name Archaeoglobus sp. Its description in RNAcentral is "tRNA-Thr". It matches the Rfam family "tRNA". From Rfam's summary of the family: Transfer RNA (tRNA) molecules are approximately 80 nucleotides in length. Their secondary structure includes four short double-helical elements and three loops (D, anti-codon, and T loops). RNAcentral also lists the same sequence under 2 other names. Lineage: Archaea; Methanobacteriati; Methanobacteriota; Archaeoglobi; Archaeoglobales; Archaeoglobaceae. The record is from RNAcentral.
GCCGCCGUGGCUCAGCUGGGAGAGCGGGUGACUCGUAAUCACCAGGUCGCGGGUUCGAAGCCCGCCGGCGGCU